This 2401-nucleotide long non-coding RNA is filed under the name Medicago truncatula (barrel medic). RNAcentral's name for it is "long non-coding RNA (MTRU_LNC003689)". The record is from RNAcentral. Lineage: Eukaryota; Viridiplantae; Streptophyta; Magnoliopsida; Fabales; Fabaceae.
AAUAAAUCAAUCCAAACAGAGCAUAAUAAAAUAACAUUAUGUGAAUGAAAAUAAAGAGAGAAACUAACAAUGUGAUCCAUAUGAGCAUGAGAGAUCAAAAGAAAAUCCAUAGAAACAGCACGAGGUGGACAACGACCAAUAUCAAAAGCAACUCUAAAGUUGGAAAAAAUAACACAAGUUUCAUGUCCUCCAAUUGAUAAACCCUCAACUUGGUAUCCUUCAAUAUUCAAACCCUUUGAUUUCUUCUUUGACUCUGUUUCUGAACUUUUCUCAGUUCCAAGCUCCAUCAACGCAAUAGAAUGGUACUGCGGCAGAACUGAAAAACCCUUAUUCAAUUAAUAAUAACAGUUAAGUUACUUUGAUAAAACAAGAAAAACGAUGACGAUCAUUGAUCAUGCUAAUCCUGUAAUCCAUGUUCUUGAAUAACACUGAUUAAGCAAUAAUCAACAAUAAAAAGGUGAUUGGAUAGAUAUUGAAAAAAGUGACGAAGCAUUGAAUUAGCGAGUCUGAACCUUGACGAUAACACGAUUAACAGAAGUGACGAAAGCUCGAGUUGGAUCCAUGGAGUAUUUCAAAGGAACACAAUGACUGAGUCCAAGAUGAACGAGUUACAAGUGACGGAGAGACCCGAGUAGCUGACGGCGACUUUCGAAUGGGAAAAAUGGUGAAAGCGGGAGACCAGAGGAAGGAGGAAACCAAAGAAGAUGAAGAUCUUUAGAGAGAGAGAGAGAGAGAAUCAUGUAAGCUGAAUCAGUGGUGCUUUUUUUUUUGGUCGAAAAAUCAGUGGUGCUAAAAAUUAGGUUUUUACUGGUUUCAAUGAAAUGGAUACAGUUUUCACCGGUUUUUAAUGCAAAUGGGUUGAGUCAGUUUUUAUACAUAAUCAUAUUUGUUUUCUCAUGUUUUUUUUGUCAAACCAGCACCAAUCAUGUCCCAGCCUUAACACUGUUUGGAUAAACAACUAAAUUAUACUAGUCCUUAUGUGUAAACUAUUUCCAUAACAAAAAUAAAGUCAAACCAUUUUCCUAUAAGCUAUAAGUUGUUUUCAUAAGUCAUCAUGGAAAGCUUAUAAAUAAGCUGAAACAACUCAAGGACAUGCCAUAAGUAGUUGUUUCCAUAAACUCUCUAAAAUAGUACUACAAGUGCUUAUGUCAAUCCAAACCAAACAGAUCCUUAGUCAUUAGAUUGAAGACGACACUGAGCUUCUACUUCGUAGGUACGGCCCAUGUCAUGGUGGUUCAGUGUAUAACUUGCUGUGAUUGGUUAACAACUUUGAUACACUGACACUUCUGAUUGAAGGUGUGUCUGGUGUCUGAUACGACACCAACACAUGUAAUUUCAUUCGGUUAUGUAAUUUUUUUUUAAAUUACUACCAGUGUGUACGUGUCAAUGUCAAUGCUUCAUAGGUUAACAAUAUUACUUUUGUAUAAGAUAUAAGCCGUUUUCAUAAGCUAAUCUUAGAGAACUUACGAAAUCAAGCUGAAGAGUGUACAAACAUAUAGUUUUUAAUUAAUAUACUUUGUCAGUGUACAAUAGUUUUACACAUGCAUUCAAUGAUGUUUUGCCACAUCAAUUAAUGAUUAAUGAAUAUGAAAACUUGUCAUAUUCAUUAAUUGAUGGGGCAACACAUCAUUAGAUGCAUGUGUAAAACUAUUGUACACCGGCAGAUCAUAAUGGUUAAACUCAUAAACACAUCGUAACAUGUUUUUAUAAGUUCUCUGUAACAGUCAAACAAGAUUUCACGCAAAUAAAUCAAUCCAAACAGAGCAUAAUAUAAUAACAUUAUGUGAAUGAAAAUAAAGAGAGAAACUAACAAUGUGAAACAUAUGAGCAUGAGAGAUCAAAAGAAAAUCCAUAGAAACAAAACGAGGUGGACAACGACCAAUAUCAAAAGCAAUUCUAAAGUUGGAAAAAAUAACACAAAUUUCAUGUCCUCCAAUUGAUAAACUCUCAACUUGGUAUCCUUCAAUAUUCAAACCCUUUGAUUUCUUCUUUGACUCUGUUUCUGAACUUCCUGACUUUAACUUCUUCUCAGUUCCAAGCUCCAUCAACGCAAUAGAAUGGUACUGCAGCGGCGUUGCCUUUUUAAAGGGAAGAAUACGGUGGCCGGAAAUGGUGGUGGUGAUUGCUAAGGCUAAGGGUAACUUUACUGCUGCUAAUGCUAUUUGCUUCUUUUUUUUUUCUCCAUUCAAAUUCCACUGCGUGUACCCACAGAUGAACCAAUAUUAUGCUCGGUGACUUUUAGGGUACACAAUUUGUUAAUGUAGGGUACACAACUUUUGUACAUGUAGGCCAUCACCACAUCCAAGCCAUUCAAUUUUUAAAUAGUAAAUCCAAGGUUAAAGGUUUGCUUGUGUAUGGGUACACAAAUUUAACAAUUUGUGCACCCUAAAAGUCACCAUUA